UGAAUACGAGAUGCUACGGCGUCGAAGCAGUCUAUGUCAUACUUCCAAGAAAAGCUUGCACUGUCAUAAACAAAUAAUGCCUGUACCAUAACCGACACAGGUGGGUAGGUAGAGUAUACUAAGGGGCGCGAGAUAACUCUCUCUAAGGAACUCGGCAAAAUGACUCCGUAACUUCGGGAGAAGGAGUGCCUUAUUUAUAAGGUUGCAAUAACAAGAUCCAAGCAACUGUUUACCAAAACCACAGGUCUCCGCUAAGUCGUAAGACGAUGUAUGGGGGCUGACGCCUGCCCAGUGCCAGAAGGUUAAAGAAGUUGGUUAGCAUCCGCGAAGCUGAUAACUGAAGCCCUGGUGAACGGCGGCCGUAACUAUAACGGUCCUAAGGUAGCGAAAUUCCUUGUCGGGUAAGUUCCGACCCGCACGAAAGGCGUAAUGAUUUGGAUACUGUCUCGGAGAGGGGCUCGGUGAAAUAGACUUGUCUGUGAAGAUGCGGACUACCUGCACCAGGACAGAAAGACCCUAUGAAGCUUUACUGUAACCUGAAAUUGAAAUUGGACUUUACUUGCGCAGUAUAGGUGGGAGGCGUUGAGAAUAUUCUUGCGGGAUUAUUGGAGCCAUCAGUGAGAUACCACUCUUGUAAUGUUAGAUUUCUAACUUUGUAUCAUUAUCUGGUCAAAGAACAGUUUCAGGCGUGCAGUUUGACUGGGGCGGUCGCCUCCUAAACGGUAACGGAGGCGCACAAAGGUUUCCUCUGAACGGGUAGAAAUCGUAUCUAGAGUGUAAAGGCAUAAGGAAGCUUGACUGUGAGACCUACAAGUCGAGCAGGGACGAAAGUCGGUCUUAGUGAUCUGACGGUGCUGAGUGGAAAGGCCGUCACUCAACGGAUAAAAGUUACUCUAAGGAUAACAGGCUGAUCUCCCCCAAGAGUUCACAUCGACGGGGAGGUUUGGCAUCUCGAUGUCGGCUCAUCGCAUCCUGGGGCGGUAGUACGUCCCAAGGGUUGGGCUGUUCGCCCAUGAAAGCGGUACGCGAGCUGGGUUCAGAACGUCGUGAGACAGUUCGGUCCAUAUCCGGUGUAGGCGUUAGAAUAUUGAGAGGAGCCUUCUUUAGUACGAGAGGACCGAGAAGGACAUACCUCUGGUGUACCAGUUAUCGUGCCAACGGUAAACGCUGGGUAGCUAUGUGUGGAGUGGAUAACCGCUGAAAGCAUCUGAGUGGGAAGCCCACCUCAAGAUAAGUAUUCUCAUA
RNAcentral lists this ribosomal RNA (1245 nucleotides) under metagenome. Its description in RNAcentral is "bacterial LSU rRNA". It matches the Rfam family "Bacterial large subunit ribosomal RNA", at positions 1564 to 2818 of the family's 2925-position model. The record is from RNAcentral.